This is a long non-coding RNA of Ananas comosus (pineapple), 722 nucleotides long. RefSeq lists it as uncharacterized. The transcript is spliced from 2 exons. The record is from RefSeq and is a predicted model, not a curated record. Lineage: Eukaryota; Viridiplantae; Streptophyta; Magnoliopsida; Poales; Bromeliaceae.
ACGAUCGUCGCCGUCGCCGUCGUCGUCGUCGUCGACGACGGAGUGGGCGGCCACCUUGAAGAAGAGCCGGGCGUUGAGCGCGGCAUUGAUCACGCGGAGCAGUGCGUUCGACGAUUGCAGCAUCGACCAAGGAUCCGAGGAAAGCAAGGGCAAAAGCUAGCAUGAACAUGUAGUGUGUCAUGUUUAAGAUUCGAAACAAUAGAACUAAUUGAUAUAGAAAAGAUAAAUGAAGAUGAUGACUUCUUUUUUAGAUUACUGUAUCUUGGUGUGGCACAAACCAUUAGUUAUCUUAUAUAGAUCCCUGAAAUGCAUACUGAUAAUGUUGGUUAAUGGUACGAUGGUUGUGUGCUAGCGUGCGAGCUAUAGUUUCAUAGUCAUUUGGUAGUCAUGAUCAGUACAGUUUCCAAAGAAAGAUAAGCAGCAUUACAUCUGGCAGUCGAUCAUCCUACCCUCUAAGAGUUAGUUGGCUAUUUAGAUACUUAAAUUUCUAGAUAAUAACAUGAGGACAAGGGACUUAACCAAGUUUGAAGUUGCAGAUAGGUUUGAAAGUAAUCAAGUUCUGUUCAUAUUUUUGUCAAUUUGUGAUUUGUUGGUUAAUUUCUGAACUUAGAAAUUCUCGAAUCCACUUGUGUUUGCAUUUUUUUUUUUUUUGUUUUAAUUCCAUGUAGUAGUAUUGUAAUAGCGACUACCCUUUUGGCAAUUUUCACAUUUUACUUGCCUUC